This 305-nucleotide ribosomal RNA is filed under the name Arabidopsis thaliana (thale cress). The record is from RNAcentral. Lineage: Eukaryota; Viridiplantae; Streptophyta; Magnoliopsida; Brassicales; Brassicaceae.
UUUUCAUGCAUCAAAGCUCGUUAAGACUAGAUGGGGGAUCCCUACAUAGCGGGUGGGACCCACAGCGAAUGGUUCAUCAAUUCUUCAAAAAAGAAUAUAUACGAUUGCAUUGCAUAUACUAACGGAUGCGAUCAUACCAGCACUAAUGCACCGGAUCCCAUCAGAACUCCGCAGUUAAGCGUGCUUGGGCGAGAGUAGUACUAGGAUGGGUGACCUCCCGGGAAGUCCUCGUGUUGCAUCCCUCUUUUAUGUUUAACCUUUUUUUUUUUGGUUAAAACUUUAUGACUCCAUAACUUCUACACCGA